GACGAACGCUGGCGGCGUGCUUAACACAUGCAAGUCGAACGGAAAGGCCCUGCUUUUGUGGGGUGCUCGAGUGGCGAACGGGUGAGUAACACGUGAGUAACCUGCCCUUGACUUUGGGAUAACUUCAGGAAACUGGGGCUAAUACCGGAUAGGAGCUCCUGCUGCAUGGUGGGGGUUGGAAAGUUUCGGCGGUUGGGGAUGGACUCGCGGCUUAUCAGCUUGUUGGUGGGGUAGUGGCUUACCAAGGCUUUGACGGGUAGCCGGCCUGAGAGGGUGACCGGCCACAUUGGGACUGAGAUAAGGCCCAGACUCCUACGGGAGGCAACAGUGGGGAAUAUUGCACAAUGGGCGGAAGCCUGAUGCAGCAACGGCGCGGGCGGGAAGACGGGCUUCGGGUUGUAAACCGCUUUCGCCUGUGACGAAGCGUGAGUGACGGUAAUGGGUAAGGAAGCACCGGCUAACUACGUGC
RNAcentral lists this ribosomal RNA (469 nucleotides) under uncultured bacterium. Its description in RNAcentral is "partial 16S ribosomal RNA". It matches the Rfam family "Bacterial small subunit ribosomal RNA", at positions 28 to 508 of the family's 1533-position model. The record is from RNAcentral.